RNAcentral lists this ribosomal RNA (485 nucleotides) under uncultured bacterium. RNAcentral's name for it is "bacterial SSU rRNA". It matches the Rfam family "Bacterial small subunit ribosomal RNA", at positions 28 to 513 of the family's 1533-position model. The record is from RNAcentral.
GAUGAACGCUAGCGGCAGGCUUAACACAUGCAAGUCGAGGGGUAUAGGGAGCUUGCUUCCUAGAGACCGGCGCACGGGUGCGUAACGCGUAUGCAAUCUACCUUUUGCAGAGGAUAGCCCAGAGAAAUUUGGAUUAAUACCUCAUAGUAUAGCAGUUUCGCAUGAAACCAUUAUUAAAGUUCCAACGGUAAAAGAUGAGUAUGCGUCCCAUUAGCUAGAUGGUAAGGUAACGGCUUACCAUGGCAAUGAUGGGUAGGGGUCCUGAGAGGGAGAUCCCCCACACUGGUACUGAGACACGGACCAGACUCCUACGGGAGGCAGCAGUGAGGAAUAUUGGACAAUGGGCGCAAGCCUGAUCCAGCCAUGCCGCGUGCAGGAAUAAGGUCCUAUAGAUUGUAAACUGCUUUUAUACAGGAAGAAACACACCCUCGUGAGGGUACUUGACGGUACUGUAAGAAUAAGGAUCGGCUAACUCCGUGCCAGCA